This 253-nucleotide ribosomal RNA is filed under the name uncultured bacterium. Its description in RNAcentral is "partial 16S ribosomal RNA". It matches the Rfam family "Bacterial small subunit ribosomal RNA", at positions 524 to 776 of the family's 1533-position model. The record is from RNAcentral.
GACGGGGGAUGCAAGUGUUAUCCGGAAUCACUGGGCGUAAAGCGUCUGCAGGUGGUUUCCUAAGUCCACUGUUAAACCUUGAGGCUCAACCUCAAAUCUGCAUUGGAAACUAGGAGACUUGAGUAUAGUAGGGGUAGAGGGAAUUUCCAGUGGAGCGGUGAAAUGCGUAGAGAUCGGAAAGAACACCAACGGCGAAAGCACUCUGCUGGGCCGACACUGACACUGAGAGACGAAAGCUAGGGGAGCGAAUGGG